RNAcentral lists this transfer RNA (78 nucleotides) under Kiritimatiellia bacterium. RNAcentral describes it as "Kiritimatiellae bacterium (gut metagenome) tRNA-Val". It matches the Rfam family "tRNA". Rfam says of the family: Transfer RNA (tRNA) molecules are approximately 80 nucleotides in length. Their secondary structure includes four short double-helical elements and three loops (D, anti-codon, and T loops). Lineage: Bacteria; Pseudomonadati; Kiritimatiellota; Kiritimatiellia. The record is from RNAcentral.
GGGGGAUUAGCUCAGCUUGGUUAGAGCGUCUGCUUGACAUGCAGAAGGUCACUGGUUCGAGUCCAGUAUCUCCCACCA